AGAGUUUGAUUAUGGCUCAGAUUGAACGCUGGCGGUAUGCUUAACACAUGCAAGUCGAACGGAAACGAUACUAGCUUGCUAGUAGGCGUCGAGUGGCGGACGGGUGAGUAACGCGUAGGAAUCUGCCUGAUAGUGGGGGAUAGCCCGGAGAAAUUCGGAUUAAUACCGCAUAAUCUAUUCGUAGUAAAGUGGGGGACUUUCGAGCCUCACGCUAUCAGAUGAGCCUGCGUAAGAUUAGCUUGUUGGUAGGGUAAAAGCCUACCAAGGCGACGAUCUUUAGCUGGUCUGAGAGGAUGAUCAGCCACAUCGGGACUGAGACACGGCCCGAACUCCUACGGGAGGCAGCAGUGGGGAAUAUUGGACAAUGGGGGCAACCCUGAUCCAGCAAUACCGCGUGUGUGAAGAAGGCCUGAGGGUUGUAAAGCACUUUCAAUUGUGAAGAAAAGUUAACGGUUAAUAACCGUUAGCCUUGACGUUAACUUUAGAAGAAGCACCGGCUAACUCCGUGCCAGCAGCCGCGGUAAUACGGAGGGUGCAAGCGUUAAUCGGAAUUACUGGGCGUAAAGCGUGCGUAGGCGGUUUAUUAAGUCAGAUGUGAAAGCCCCGGGCUUAACCUGGGAACUGCAUUUGAAACUGGUAAACUAGAGUAUGGUAGAGGAAAGUGGAAUUUCUGGUGUAGCGGUGAAAUGCGUAGAUAUCAGAAGGAACAUCAAUGGCGAAGGCAGCUUUCUGGACCAAUACUGACGCUGAGGUACGAAAGCGUGGGUAGCAAACAGGAUUAGAUACCCUGGUAGUCCACGCCGUAAACGAUGAUAACUAGCCGUUGGGGGGAUUUACCCUUUAGUGGCGAAGCUAACGCGUUAAGUUAUCCGCCUGGGGAGUACGGCCGCAAGGUUAAAACUCAAAGGAAUUGACGGGGACCCGCACAAGCGGUGGAGCAUGUGGUUUAAUUCGAUGCAACGCGAAGAACCUUACCUGGUCUUGACAUCCUGCGAACUUUCUAGAAAUAGAUUGGUGCCUUCGGGAACGCAGUGACAGGUGCUGCAUGGCUGUCGUCAGCUCGUGUCGUGAGAUGUUGGGUUAAGUCCCGUAACGAGCGCAACCCCUAUCCUUAUUUGCCAGCACAUUAUGGUGGGAACUAUAAGGAGACUGCCGGUGAUAAACCGGAGGAAGGCGGGGACGACGUCAAGUCAUCAUGGCCCUUACGACCAGGGCUACACACGUGCUACAAUGGGAAGGACAAAGAGCCGCGAAGCCGCGAGGUGUAGCUAAUCUCAUAAACCUUUUCGUAGUCCGGAUUGGAGUCUGCAACUCGACUCCAUGAAGUCGGAAUCGCUAGUAAUCGUAGAUCAGAAUGCUACGGUGAAUACGUUCCCGGGUCUUGUACACACCGCCCGUCAUACCAUGGGAGUGGGUUGCACCAGAAGUGGCUAGUCUAACUUAGUGAGGACGGUCACCACGGUGUGAUUCAUGACUGGGGUAAAGUCGUAACAAGGUA
RNAcentral lists this ribosomal RNA (1498 nucleotides) under uncultured bacterium. Its description in RNAcentral is "bacterial SSU rRNA". It matches the Rfam family "Bacterial small subunit ribosomal RNA". The record is from RNAcentral.